Molecule: long non-coding RNA, 363 nt
Organism: Clupea harengus (Atlantic herring)
Lineage: Eukaryota; Metazoa; Chordata; Actinopteri; Clupeiformes; Clupeidae
Source: Ensembl
AGUGAAGAUGCUGUGGACCGCCAAAGUGAUGAUGUGGUUGUCACCACAACACCCAAUCCCCACAACCAGACCACAUCUGCCCAUACUGAAGCUGGUGGUGGAGCAAGUGAAGAUGCUGUGGCUACUACCCCAGCACCCAAUCCAGACAACCAGACAACUUCUGCACAAGCUGAAGUUACUGAUGGAGCCAGUGAAGAUGCUGUGGACCGCCAAAGUGAUGAUGUGGUUGUCACCACAACACCCAAUCCCCACAACCAGACCACAUCUGCCCAUACUGAAGCUGGUGAUGGAGCAAGUGAAGAUGCUGUGGCUACCACCCCAACACCAAAUCCCCCCAACUACAUCUGACCACACUGCAGCUAC